Molecule: ribosomal RNA, 548 nt
Filed under: uncultured Funneliformis
Lineage: Eukaryota; Fungi; Glomeromycota; Glomeromycetes; Glomerales; Glomeraceae
Description: SSU rRNA
Rfam family: Eukaryotic small subunit ribosomal RNA
Source: RNAcentral
UUGGAGGGCAAGUCUGGUGCCAGCAGCCGCGGUAAUUCCAGCUCCAAUAGCGUAUAUUAAAGUUGUUGCAGUUAAAAAGCUCGUAGUUGGAUUUCGGGAUCAAGGGAUCGGUCAUGCCUUGGUAUGUACUGGUCUUAUUGGUUCUCACCUUCUAAAGAACCAUGAUGUCAUUCAUUUGAUGUUAUGGGGAAUUAGGACUGUUACCUUGAAAAAAUUAGAGUGUUUAAAGCAAGCUUACGCUUGAAUACAUUAGCAUGGAAUAAUGAAAUAGGACAUCAGAUUCUAUUUUGUUGGUUUCUAGGAUCGAUGUAAUGAUUAAUAGGGAUAGUUGGGGGCAUUAGUAUUCAAUUGUCAGAGGUGAAAUUCUUGGAUUUAUUGAAGACUAACUACUGCGAAAGCAUUUGCCAAGGAUGUUUUCAUUAAUCAAGAACGAAAGUUAGGGGAUCGAAGACGAUCAGAUACCGUCGUAGUCUUAACCAUAAACUAUGCCGACUAGGGAUCGGAUGAUGUUAAUUUUUUAAUGACUCAUUCGGCGCCUUACGGGAAAC